CACAUCUAAGGAAGGCAGCAGGCGCGAAAAUUACCCAAUACUAAUACAGUGAGGUAGUAACAAUAAAUAACACAGCCCAGCAUUUCAUGUUGGGCUUUUGGAAUGAGAACAAUUUAAAUCCAUUAUCGAGGAUCAAUUGGAGGGCAAGUCUGGUGCCAGCAGCCGCGGUAAUUCCAGCUCCAAUAGCGUAUAUUAAAGUUGCUGCAGUUAAAAAGCUCGUAGUUGGAUUUCUAGCGAGGCACGAGAAUAUCCACCUAUGGUGAAUACUUCUCUCGCCUUGCUCUUCUUUAGUUGAUGUCUCUGGCAUUAAGUUGUCGGAGUCCUGAGACUAAUCGUUUACUGUGAGAAAAUUAGGGUGUUCAAAGCAGGCUUAUGCCGUUGAAUAUAUUAGCAUGGAAUAAUAAGAUAGGACUUCGGUACUAUUUUGUUGGUUUGCGUACUGAUGUAAUGAUAAAUAGGGACUGGCGUGGGUAUUCGUAUUUUAAUGUCAGAGGUGAAAUUCUUAGAUUAUUGAAAGACGGACGACUGCGAAAGCAUCUACCAAGUAUGUUUUCAUUAAUCAAGAACGAAAGUAUGGGGAUCGAAGAUGAUUAGAUACCAUCGUAGUCUAUACCAUAAACUAUGCCGA
RNAcentral lists this ribosomal RNA (628 nucleotides) under uncultured eukaryote. Its description in RNAcentral is "SSU rRNA". It matches the Rfam family "Eukaryotic small subunit ribosomal RNA", at positions 411 to 1045 of the family's 1831-position model. The record is from RNAcentral.